AUAAAUGUGAUAUAUAUAUAUAGUUUGGACAUAUUAAAUUUGGUUAAGUGAUUAGUACAUGUAUAAUUGUUAUGCAUUGGAUGAUAGAUUGAUUGGUUAUGAGUUGAACUAAAUUACCGAAUGUAUAUAUAUAUAUUGUUGCUAAAUGAAAUAUAUGUGCAGAUAGAUACUAGCAAGUAUAUUAUACUUGUAUGGUGUAAUUUGGCUUUUGGUAUUAUAUAGAUUCGGUUAUGAUUUAUAAGUAUAGAGCUAUGUUUAAUCCAUAAACCUUUGAUAAUUAGUUUGAAAUGAU
This 292-nucleotide long non-coding RNA is filed under the name Gossypium raimondii (Peruvian cotton). RNAcentral's name for it is "long non-coding RNA (GRAI_LNC000940)". Lineage: Eukaryota; Viridiplantae; Streptophyta; Magnoliopsida; Malvales; Malvaceae. The record is from RNAcentral.